UAAUUUGUUUGAAAUUCAAAGAACCUGGCGGUACUUUAGUCUAGUUAGAGGAACCUGUUAUAUAAACGAUAAACCACGUAGAAUCUUUCUUGUUCUUGUAUAGCCAGUAUACCUUCAUUGUUAGAUAAUUUAUAUAUGAAUUAUUGAAAUCGAGAAAAUCAAGUAUAUUAGAUCAAGGUGCUGCUAAUGAGCAAGUAUAAAUGGGUUACAAUAUUUUAAAAGAGGCUGAUUAUAGUGAGAAUUCACUAUGUGAGGAUGGAUUUAAUUGUAAGUUUAAAUUUAGUAAGGUAAAGUGAUAAUAGCUCUAAAGUGUGUACAUAUUGCCCGUCGCUUUCAUUAAAUCAGAUGAGAUAA
This 354-nucleotide ribosomal RNA is filed under the name Panulirus cygnus (western rock lobster). RNAcentral's name for it is "partial 12S ribosomal RNA". The record is from RNAcentral. Lineage: Eukaryota; Metazoa; Arthropoda; Malacostraca; Decapoda; Palinuridae.